CUCAAACUGACUGACCACUGGCCCCAAACUAAUUGUUGACUAUGAGAAGGGGACAUAUUUUGUCUUAUGCAAGACGUUUGUAUUUUAUUUUUGUGUCGUUUAAUUUCGAGGGUUUAUUGUGUUAUCAUCACAAACAACUGUGAUUGGUCCAGUCUGAGCAGCACUGAGAAAAGUAACUUAUCGGUUCUCUGGUGACCAAACGACACAUAGCGCCCUUUAGCGUCCACAUGUAGAAUCAUCUUAUCUGGAAGCAUGCUAUGCUAGCAGUUCGUUUCCUCACAGUGUAAACCCAGAUGUUUUGACAUUUUAAAUAGGUUUUGGCGCUCUUUUGAUCUCAUCUGCCGUUGCUCUUGCGGUAAUGACGUCACCCCUCGCGCGCUGUCAGCCUCUCGAGAUUUCUGAAGUGAGCCGUUUUUAUUGAGAUCAGCUCCUUCAGUGAAGCUCCUCAGACAGCAAUUCACCAAUAAAUGCUGGAAUAUUCCCAUCAGCCUACAAGUGAAGACCAGCAUGAAACCAGCAAGAAGAAGCCUUAGUAAAAGAAACGGUGAAGACAGACCUUCGCAACAGGCCGCAGGGGGAGCAUCUUGAGGCCUGCAUGAGGGUGUCCAUCAGUGGUCCCCCAGUUGGGGACUUCCCAUAUCAGGAGGCCCUUGAAAUGUUUUUCAAAAGUCCUAGGAAAAUUAAAUGCAAAAACCACAAUUGUACGCUGUGCCAGUGAUCACACAGUGAAGUGUGUUGUAAAUAGU
Molecule: RNA transcript, 746 nt
Organism: Onychostoma macrolepis
Lineage: Eukaryota; Metazoa; Chordata; Actinopteri; Cypriniformes; Cyprinidae
Gene name: protein krueppel-like
Exons: 5
Source: RefSeq, a predicted model, not a curated record